Molecule: ribosomal RNA, 497 nt
Filed under: uncultured bacterium
Lineage: Bacteria
Description: partial 16S ribosomal RNA
Rfam family: Bacterial small subunit ribosomal RNA
Source: RNAcentral
GAUGAACGCUGGCGGCGUGCCUAACACAUGCAAGUCGAGCGAACAGAUGAGGAGCUUGCUCCUCUGACGUUAGCGGCGGACGGGUGAGUAACACGUGGAUAACCUACCUAUAAGACUGGUAUAACUUCGGGACACCGGAGCUUAUACCGGAUAAUCUACUGAACCGCAUGGUUCAAUAGUAAAAUACGGUUUUGCUGUCACUUAUAGAUGGAUCUGCGCCGCAUUGGAUAGUUGGUAAGGUAACGGCUUUUCACGGCUACGAUGCGUAGACGACGUGCGGGGGUGAUCGGCGACACUGGAACGGGGACAGGGACCAGGGUCCUACGGGAGGGAGCAGUAGGGAAUCUGCCGCAGUAGGCGAGAACCUGGCACAGCGAGGGGGAGUGUGAGAUGGAGAUCUUCGGAUCGGGAAACUCUGUUACGAGGGAAGAACAGAUGUGGAAGUAAAUGUGCCCGGCUUGACGGUACCUGGUCAGGAAGCCACGGCUAACUACGUG